CCUCAAAACCAAAAAUUAGUGUAUCAAACCGGAUCGGAACCGGAUAUAUUUGUUCACUCUGCAAACUCGAAUUUCUGGGAAAAAAAACUUAACACUGGAAUUGCCAGAACACCUUAUAAAUUGCAGGAACACAAAAAAAUUGCAGAGAAAGGAAAAAAUCUCAACAAAAUUUUAAACACUAACCUGGAGCACAGCACACACAUUCUUUAUCCCCAUUAGUAUAUGAGAAUCCCAACCAAGUCUCCCAUUUUGGAGAUAGAUGCAGCACGAGGAGAGAAUGUACACAGCAACAGAAAUCCAGAUAUUAUAAGGCAAGCAUUGAAACAAACCAGCGAAUGGGGACACAUCACUGUUGUGGAGACAGUCAAGAGUAGUCUUCACAUCGUCAUAACUUAGAGGGCAAGCAGGUCCUCUCGCAAGGAUGUAGGACAGACUGUGAAGCCAUGUUCAGGCACAUAA
Molecule: long non-coding RNA, 459 nt
Filed under: Capsella grandiflora
Lineage: Eukaryota; Viridiplantae; Streptophyta; Magnoliopsida; Brassicales; Brassicaceae
Description: long non-coding RNA (CGRA_LNC000789)
Source: RNAcentral